This 2629-nucleotide long non-coding RNA is filed under the name Gigantopelta aegis. RNAcentral describes it as "uncharacterized LOC121386277". Lineage: Eukaryota; Metazoa; Mollusca; Gastropoda; Neomphalida; Peltospiridae. The record is from RNAcentral.
ACGAUUUGUCGCCCUUUAAAUAAAUACAAAAAUGAACAUUUUACGUCAACGGCUUACUAAAACAUGUGAGAUUUAAAUUUCACUAUGAAGUGCCUGGACAUUUUCAUUAUGUUUACAUUACUUUCAUUUAAGGGUUGUACUGGUUUCGUCAUGUGCUACACGUGUGAGGGCUAUUCAGAUUCCAACUGCUCACUGUUAACGCCGCAAAUAACGUCAAUGAUUGUUAAUUGUAGUGGAUCAUGUUAUAAAUCGGUUAAGUACCAUAAAAACCAGAUAUACGAGAUACGAAAAUGUGAGAACACAUUUCAGUCUGAUGGGUGUGUCCGGGAGCGUGAUACGACGUGUUACUGCAGCUACGACUACUGCAAUGGGGUGCAGACAGCACGUGUACUCGCGUCUACCGCCAUCUUGACAGCCCUGCUACACAUUCUGUGGUGGUGAAUUCUACGUGGACAUUAUGAAGUGAAAGCUGCUGUAAAGGACAGUCAUUAUAAGAACCGCCUGUCUGUGUAGUAUUAUAAAAGGCAUUAAGUGUGAAUUCAGACAAAUCUACUGCAAAGAAGUCAUUAGAUACACACACCACCUAUACACUAUUUUGUCUCAAAUAUCAGUUGCACGAACACAAAUAUCUUCCUAUGUUGAUGUCAAAAAGAAAACAAAAAGACAUCAUUUUGUUUUGUUAUAAUAAUAUAUUAUCACAUUUAAUGUUACAGCAAUGUAUUGCAUACUAAACAAAUUUUUUUCUCUCACAAAGUAACAAAAACAAUACAAUGGAUUAGAUUUUUUUUUUAAAGAAAAAAAGAAAAGAAAGUGUUUAAAUUGAAUGACGGUAUCCCUCAACUUUCCAGCAAGUUGCAAAGACCUACUAUAUUGCAUUUCAGCUAAGCAGUGGUUCUGAAUGGGGUGGUUCGUGGACAGGGGGAUGAGGACAGGACUGGGGAGGGUAGGGUAAGUAAUCUGGGCAAAGGUUACGAGUAUUAUAUACAUUUGUCAGUACUAAUUAUAUUGCAGGUCAACAGAAUAUCACACACACAAUCUCCAUAUCCCUCAAGUGACCCACAAAUGAAAAAUACCAUUUUAUUGUGAUGGAUUUUCUCUAAGAGUAGUAGCAAUAAUAAUAAUAAUAAUAAUAAUAAUAACUGUGAAAAUAAGUUUGAAAAGCAUCAAAAAGGGAUGGGUGUGUGUGCACUGACAUGACCCCAACAUAAAUGAUUCAGAGCCACUGGUCACUCAAGGAAAUAACUGACAAAAGGUAGCUUUAGGGGGCUUCAGUAAGUGCUCACUCUGCCCUUUUGUUACGAGGUUUCAGCAUGAUGGAAAAUUCUGUAAGUGUUUGGAAAGGUCAUAGCAGAUCCAUAUAGGGGUUCUAGGGAUGUGCAACUCAUGUUACAAGUGCCCUGAACCAAAACAAAUGAUGAGGAUAUCUUUUUCUUUUGGGUUUCUUGGAUAGACAGCUGCACUUCAUUACAGUAUUGUGUACUGGGUUGGAUCGGAUCUACAAAGAUGAAUUUGAUAGAAACAAAUGGGGGAAAAUAGUUACAUGUACAGGCUGCGAAUUUAGUAUGAUUCCAUACUCCCACAAAUACGAGAUUUGGUGUCGGAAAUGUAAGAUUACGAGACUGAAUCUAAAAAUAUCUACAUUAAAUCAUUUUGAUAUCUUGGCAGAAUCAUAAAACAAAAUUCCAUGCCCGAUAUAUGUUGUAAAUAACAGGGUUUUUUUGUUUUGAGUAUCCAUUGUACAGAGAUCACAUUAUACUGUAACACACUAGGCCUAUAUUAGUUUUUAUUAUCCCAUACAGCUUUCAAUGAAAACAUACAAAUGGCAAAUUAAUCACAAUUUUUGCCUAUACAUUAUGACAUGAAAGAUGGUAUAUACAUCUUAUGAAUGAAUACAGGAUAAAAUGGUUUUGAAAAUCAAACAAAUGCAACAGUGUCAAGAGCCUUUUCAACUAGUGAUAAGCAUCGCAAUAUGUUAACCGUAGGUGUAUGUUGUAUCUUAAUUCAUUUGGCCAUUUACAGAGUUCACAUAGUUUACACAUCCAAUAGUUCACUCACUCACACUAUGAUGGCCAAUUACAAGAAAAAUAAAUGUUUUGGUUUUGCAUUUAUAUGGGUGCAUAGGUUUUACAGAUAAUUAAAAGUUAUGUCAAAGUUAUUCUGCAAAACAGCACCAAGAAUAAUGAAUAGAUUUUUGGGGAGCCUGAAAAAUAUACCCCAAAAGACUAAUUUUUCUUUUCUUGUUUUUAGAUUAAAAAGCAAAAUACUUCCAUAUAAGACUAUAUUUAUUACAAAGGUUUGUUACAAACAUUUCAGUUAACGCCCCAACAGGGAACAUUUUGUUUUUAAAAUUUGAUUAACAAUAUUUCUAGUCAAAUGAAAAUGGAUUAGCAACUACCGUUAAUGUUUUACAAUUGUGUAGCGAUCUCUGAAACUUGCUUCGUGAUCCAAGCUCAUUGUUAAUAUUUACAACAGAUUAUUUCAUUUGCUUUCUUCCCAUAAUGAAUACUUUAUCAUAACCUAUUACUGGUAUGUCUGGACACCACUACUCACUUUGGCAUGCAUUCCUAAGCAAUUUUUAUACAUUUUUGUAUCAGGAAAAAAAUUCUAUAAAAAAUACAAUACAUGGAAA